GAUGAACGCUGGCGGCGUGCCUAAUUCAUGCAAGUCGAGCGAACGGACGAGAAGCUUGCUUCUCUGAUGUUAGCGGCGGAUGGGUGAGUAACACGUGGAUAACCUACCUAUAAGACUGGGAUAACUUCGGGAAACCGGAGCUAAUACCGGAUAAUAUUUUGAACCGCAUGGUUCAAAAGUAAAAGACGGUCUUGCUGUCACUUAUAGAUGUAUCCGAGUUGCAUUAGCUAGUUGGUAAGGUAACGGCUUACCAAGGCAACGAUGCAUAGCCGACCUGAGAGGAUGAUAAGCCACACUGGAACUGAGACACGGUCCAGACUCCUACGGGAGGCAGCAGUAGGGAAUCUUCCGCAAUGGGCGAAAGCCUGACGGAGCAACGCCGCGUGAGUGAUGAAGGUCUUCGGAUCGUAAAGCUCUGUUAUUAGGAAAGAACAUAUAUGUGAGUAACUGUGCACAUCAUGACGGUACCUAAUCAGAAAGCCACGGCUAACUACGUG
This 497-nucleotide ribosomal RNA is filed under the name uncultured bacterium. RNAcentral's name for it is "partial 16S ribosomal RNA". It matches the Rfam family "Bacterial small subunit ribosomal RNA", at positions 28 to 507 of the family's 1533-position model. The record is from RNAcentral.